AAUAGAUCCCGGGUAGUCCACGCCGUAAACGAUGAGUGCUAAGUGUUAGGGGGUUUCCGCCCCUUAGUGCUGCAGCUAACGCAUUAAGCACUCCGCCUGGGGAGUACGGUCGCAAGACUGAAACUCAAAGGAAUUGACGGGGGCCCGCACAAGCGGUGGAGCAUGUGGUUUAAUUCGAAGCAACGCGAAGAACCUUACCAGGUCUUGACAUCCCACUGACCGCUAUGGAGACAUAGUUUUCCCUUCGGGGACAGUGGUGACAGGUGGUGCAUGGUUGUCGUCAGCUCGUGUCGUGAGAUGUUGGGUUAAGUCCCGCAACGAGCGCAACCCUUGAUCUUAGUUGCCAUCAUUUAGUUGGGCACUCUAAGGUGACUGCCGGUGACAAACCGGAGGAAGGUGGGGAUGACGUCAAAUCAUCAUGCCCCUUAUGACCUGGGCUACACACGUGCUACAAUGGACGGUACAAACGGUUGCCAACCCGCGAGGGGGAGCUAAUCCGAUAAAACCGUUCUCAGUUCGGAUUGUAGGCUGCAACUCGCCUAC
RNAcentral lists this ribosomal RNA (543 nucleotides) under uncultured bacterium. RNAcentral describes it as "bacterial SSU rRNA". It matches the Rfam family "Bacterial small subunit ribosomal RNA", at positions 777 to 1319 of the family's 1533-position model. The record is from RNAcentral.